RNAcentral lists this long non-coding RNA (1220 nucleotides) under Anas platyrhynchos (mallard). RNAcentral's name for it is "lncRNA (ENSAPLG00020002432.1)". The record is from RNAcentral. Lineage: Eukaryota; Metazoa; Chordata; Aves; Anseriformes; Anatidae.
GUUCAGAAGAAAGCAUUGAUUAAAACACCCUCAUGGAAUUUUAUACAUGGAUCAUUAGGAUAAGUAUAUGGCUUUUAUUCUCCUUUUUUAAACCAACUUAUAGAUACAGCAAGGAAAGAGUUAUUUAUUGGACUAAGUAUUAACAGUGUGAUAACAGAUAAGCUUGUCUUUGGAAGUGGAACCACUCUCACAGUCGAACCAAGCAAUCAGAAAGAAUCUGACCCAGAAGUUGUUCUGAUAAAAUCCAAGGCACUUGAAGAAGGUGGCAGUACUGGGAAAGCAGCUUGUUUGGCAAGGAACUUCUAUCCAAAAAAUAUCAGUUUGGACAUGUUAACAGCUGAAGUCAUAUAUGAACAGUCUCCACCCGUUAUGACAUCAGAGGGGACAUACAAUACUAUUAAAGUGGUGAAUGUGGCAAAAAAAUCAGAGGUAUCCUGCACGGCCAAGUUCAAGAACAAAAAUUUUCCAGCCAAUGCAACGUCAUCAGAAAAGGUGGUGGAAGAACCAAUAACAGCAAAUGUUUGCAACACCACAGACAUCUCUUCAAAAGGCAAAGAGGUAUCAAGGCAGAAGAAAGCUGAGAAACAGCAGGAGAGAGCAGCUACCAGCAGUACAAUUUGAAGAGAUGAUGUUAAAUCUGUUGACAACAACCAUCUAGAACACAGCACAGCACCAUCUCCUUAAGACAUUUCAGAGUGUGGACUCCUGCCUGGAUAGUUUAUGUAAUUUUUAGAGUUGUAAUUGCUUUUGCUAUUUCUUGUUUUCUGUGAGCAGAGGAAAGUAUUUUUCCUCAUCUGUCAGCUAAGUAGAAAUUGAUCCUUCCACUUUUCUAUCCUUUGCAUGGAAGCAUCCAACAUACUUUGAUAGUUCUGAAAAAAAAAAUUGAAACCUCACUAUCGAUAUAUGAACUUUUAAAAAUACCUUUUUACAGCAAUGUUGCAUUAUUCUGUAGAACUGAUAUUUUACUUCUGAGAGGCACAGUGGAUGUCAUUUAUAUAUAUAUAUAUUUUAAGAUAUCUUUAAUAACCAUAAUUUUCUAGUAUAGAUGAGAAGAGCUGCAUUGGAUCCGAAGGGGUGCACUUCAACCAGAUGAUGUUCAACUGUAGUAACAUUUUUAUUUACAUUUCUGUAUUUAAUUUUUAUCUUUUCUGCAAAGGGUAUGACAUCUGCAUUUUAUAUCACUGUAGCGAUUAUCAAAAUAAAAUUUUAUUACACCAAAA